RNAcentral lists this ribosomal RNA (253 nucleotides) under uncultured bacterium. RNAcentral describes it as "partial 16S ribosomal RNA". It matches the Rfam family "Bacterial small subunit ribosomal RNA", at positions 524 to 776 of the family's 1533-position model. The record is from RNAcentral.
UACGUAGGGUGCAAGCGUUGUCCGGAAUUAUUGGGCGUAAAGAGCUCGUAGGCGGCUUGUUACGUCGACUGUGAAAACCCGGGGCUCAACCCCGGGCCUGCAGUCGAUACGGGCUGGCUUGAGUGCGGUAGGGGAGACUGGAAUUCCUGGUGUAGCGGUGAAAUGCGCAGAUAUCAGGAGGAACACCGGUGGCGAAGGCGGGUCUCUGGGCCGUAACUGACGCUGAGGAGCGAAAGCGUGGGGAGCGAACAGG